GACGAACCGAGCGACCGUUGUUCGGAAUCACUGGGCUUAAAGGGCGCGUAGGCGGGCUGUCAAGUCUGGGGUGAAAUCCCGCGGCUCAACCGCGGAACUGCCUCAGAUACUGACGGCCUCGAGGGAGAUAGGGGCGAGCGGAACUAAUGGUGGAGCGGUGAAAUGCGUUGAUAUCAUUAGGAACUCCGGUGGCGAAGGCGGCUCGCUGGAUCUUUUCUGACGCUGAGGCGCGAAAGCUAGGGGAGCAAACGGG
RNAcentral lists this ribosomal RNA (253 nucleotides) under uncultured bacterium. RNAcentral's name for it is "partial 16S ribosomal RNA". It matches the Rfam family "Bacterial small subunit ribosomal RNA", at positions 524 to 776 of the family's 1533-position model. The record is from RNAcentral.